GACAAUGCUGACUAUAGAUUAUUUCAGAAAAUACUCAAAUUGUGUCGUUUGCCAUUUCCCUUUUGCACUACAUAAAGUAUCACCUCAAAUGCAGGCACAGGUUCUCUUCAGAACUCUCUCACCACCUAAGGAAAGAAGUGCAAUUGUUUUAAACCCUCUCCCUAGGAAUCUCAUCAAAUACCAUAGCCAGAAAAAAUAAACCAGUGGGGAAAGAGGAAACUAAAGUUCCCAUGCUCAAGACCACCCUACCCAGACA
RNAcentral lists this long non-coding RNA (256 nucleotides) under Heterocephalus glaber (naked mole-rat). Its description in RNAcentral is "lncRNA (ENSHGLG00000049104.1)". Lineage: Eukaryota; Metazoa; Chordata; Mammalia; Rodentia; Bathyergidae. The record is from RNAcentral.